AAUAUAACAUAUUAAAAAAAUCUAAAUUUUUAUUCUAUGCUUAAUGUGAUUUUUUAAUUUCUUUUAAUCAUAUAAAAUUAGACAAAAAGAGAGAUGAUACAAAAUUGUUAUCAAAUAUGUUUUAAUUGUCAUAUAUAUGUUAAUCAUAUUAGGUAAUUCCGUAGCAUUUAUUUAAGGAACGAAAAAAAUAUUCUUUCGUACACUACUAAUAAAUUUGAUAGAUAGUUUAAUAAAAAAGAUAUAAUAUAUAUUUAUAUGGACCAAUUUAUUUUUUUAAAGAUUCUAAGAAUCAUCAUCGUGAUGACACGUGGCUAUGAAAAUAUGUUGUAAUGCUCUAAGAUUAAUAUAUAUGGGAUUGUCCAUAUCAUAUAUAUGUAUAAUCAUACUUUUAUUGAUGGAUAUUGCAUAACAUCUCAAGCAUAUAAAGUUUUUUAUAUAGGUAAAGAAACCAAAGCAGUCGUGGCUCAAUUUCAAAAAGUGAAUCCAACGAGAAAUAUUUUAGUAGAUUAUGAAGAAAAUUAACUGAUUUUGUUGCAAAAAAGACAGUGAUAAUGAUGUAUUGAUGGCUACAAUUGAAGAUCUUGCAGUUGACCAUUUGGUAUAUGCUCGAGAAUAACCAAUCAAUCUCAAUUAAAGAUUCUAGUGUUAUUGGUAACAUGACUCUUAAAGUUCUAAAAUGUUUGGUGUUAUUGGUGUGGUGAUUUUACAAUUCUAUAUAAAUUUUUUGUUAUUCAAAAAGUUAAGUAUUUUUUAGAUUUUGUAAUUCUAUUAAACUAUGGUGUUAUUGGAACAAUGAUUCAUUACAUUUUAACUUACUGUUCACAACUUUCAAAAUACUAGAGUUAACCCAUGUAUUCCCAAAGUCGAGAUGACCAAAUCAAAUCUCUUUACCAAACAUGCAAAUAUGAUACGUGAAAAGCAUUAUCAAUUCCAUAUAAUCUCUUUUAUCAAACAUGCAUAUAUAUAACUAUGAAAUAGAUUUCAUGCACAGUCACACUACAAUACAUCAAAAUGAUAAACUCAGAAUUUUUUAUCCAUAGAAAAACUAUGAAAGAGAUUCCACAGUCAGACAACAUCACAUCAAAAUGAUAAAUCCAGAAAAUAACACCAUCACAAAUGAAAAUGAGUUAUAAAUCGUUGUGAGUAGGCUAUACUGAUUUUUUUCAAUUCCAUUAAAACCUUGGUUUCCUCUGAAUUCCAUAGGCUAUGCUGAUUGUUUUUUUCUUUAUCACUCAUUGCAAUCUUAUGUGAAGUUAAUCAAUAUUAGUAAGAACAUACACACAAAAAUAUUUAUCACAAACAUACAGGUAAACAUCAAGGUUCUUGCUACUAGUCUAAACAAAUAAAAUAAUGAAACCACACGUAAAGUUAAAAGCAACAGAUAUAACAAUCAAACCAUUUUAAUACAUGAUAUAAUGAAAAACAGAGAAAUAUAUCAGAAAAAAAAGAGAUAAGAAAAGUGAGAACCAGGACUUGUAUUAUCUUGCGAGCUUUGAUGAUGCAUAAAAAGAAAAGAACAAUUCUAGGAUUCUCCUUUUCUUUAUACACAAUUGAACAUACCUUAUUUUGAAUAUAUUAUAUGGAAAAUAGAUAAACAAUAGUAGACAAAAGUUAACAUAAAUCACAAUAAGUCAUCGCCAAUCAAGCCAAAAGAAUAUAUGGAUUCUAUAAAUAUGGGAAGACAUAUUGUGAGAAUCAAUGGAAAUAUUUACGGAAUUAAAAUCCUCUUGACUUUUGAAAUCACUGUGAAUUAGCUCCCCACUAACCUCCUCUUAGAAACUCAAAAUCCCUAAUUUCUAAAAAUUUAUAUCUCCUCACAAAAUCCUAAUCAACAAAACGGAAUUUAUCAGGAACUUAGAAACUUAAUUCCUAAAAGAUUGACAAAAUCUAACCACGAACGUAGAAACCUAACCAAACAAGCUCUCUAGAAAUCUCUAUCUCCUCCGUUAAUUCCUAACCACUGAAGACGAUGGCAGAAGGAAGAACCAUCGGAGAACCGCCAAAUCGCAUGCGAAGGGAUCAUCGUCUUGCCUGCCCCCUUUCGGGGAAAGAGUUUGGCUACCCCCACAUAUCAUGAAUCAAUCUUCUAAGAACCGGUUAUAAAACGUGGAUAUUUUCUAUCUUUAUUUAAUUAGGAUAGUAUGUAAAAGACCAUUAAACUGUAGGAAAGUUCAGUUAUUUACGAGUUAUACCUAGUUGUAUCGAAAUUCAAUCUGAUCUAAUUCAAACCGCGAACCAAACAAACCCAAAAUGAAAACCGAAGGAAACCCAGACCGAUUCCCCAUUCCGGGUUAAUGAAACCCUAAUUUCUGAUUUAACGAAAUCAAAUCCUAUUCCCGUUAAAAAAAAAAUCUUUUGUUCUUUCCCCUUCCCUUUCCUUGUUCCUUUCUGAGCUUCGAGAGUUCGAUUCCUUCCUCCCCUCUCUUCCAUUUCUUGGUCGCAGAAGUCGAUUUGUGUGUGAGAAUCGAUAGAGUGAAAAGAGAUGACGGAGAUGUCGGAUGAGGGUCGCAAGGGGGACCAGCAACGGCAAUGGCGACGGAGACAGAUGGGGUAAUCUCGGAGCCGAUAAGUGUCUUCGUCGAAGCUGCGGUGGCAGUUACAUCUGGAGAGGAGAAUGACAAUGACGCUGAUGUCCAUGAGGAUAAGGGUUCGAAAAGUGUAGUGGAUGGAGUUAAAGAUGGGGACGACAAGGAGGAGGAGGACGACGAGGUAACAAAUUGGAGAAUUCCCAAAUUAGAAUUGGAUUUUGAAUCCUAGUUGUGUUUGAAUUGGUCAUGUUUUGGUGAACUAGAAAUUAUGGUGAUGAUGUGUAGAACCUGGAAAUUAUGGUAUAACUAUAUGUAAUACUAGUACCACUCGGUGAAACAUUCAGAAUUUGGUAAAAUUAGUAAUACGUAAGUAUACUAGAGAAUACUAUAGUAACUUUGGGAAAACUAUUUGGUAUUACUGGUAUAACUGACGUAGACGUAAAUGUAAUUUGCAGCAUUUUGAGCCCAUCGAAGCAAUCAGAGAAGUGUGGUUCAUUGUCGACGAUGUUCCCAUCCGUUUGUGAAGGAAGGGCAGAAGGGAUCGAAGAGAAAGGGAAGAAAGGAAGCCGGAGUUGUUUCAUGUCCGAUUGUUUUACAAAACUCUAUGCUUCUCGGUUUCUAGAAGUUUGAAACUAUAAUUUCAUUUUCUUGAUGUUACAAUUACAGUUACAAUUUCAAAUUCAUUUUCGGGAUGUUGCAAAUUCAUGUUAUCGUGAAACACAAAAUAAAGAAACGAAACUUUGGAAUUUUACAAGUCUUAGACAACCACAAAAUAAAGACUUGUAAGGCUAUCCGCCGAAGCAAAGAAAAACAAAACAAAUAGGAUUGAAGCUCUAAGUUCGGACAAUACAAAACACUUAAACAAGUUCCGACAUUCCAAAACACUUAAAGAUAAGAUUCUUCGAACUUUCUAACAAUCUCAUCUUCAUUUUCGUCAUCCACUGUCUCUUUGUUCUCGAAAUUGUUUUUCAUUUCUGAGAUGGUCUGAGUUAACUGCUCAAUCACUCUAGUCUUCUCCCAGAUCUCACCACGGGCGUCAAGCAAAGCUUGUUUUUGCCAAGUUGUACCGUCCUCUUCAUCAAACCAAGAGAAGUAAUUGCAUCCAUUGGGAAAACGCGGACAGCCAUAAAAGCGUCGACCUGGGUUUCUGUCAGUCCAACCUUGCGUUAUACUCACCGGGAAGCCACAAAUACAGAAUCUCCUACCAGAAUUUUGCCUCCUCGUCGACGAUCCCGAAGCCACUUCCAUCUUCACUUUCUCCAUCUUCAUUUUUUCCAUCUUUACUUUUUGUAUCUGAGAAGAAGAGAAGAGAGGGAGGGAGAGGAACAGAGGCAAGAGAUCGAAAGGUGAUAAGAGGGAAGAGACAAGAGAAGGGAAGAGAAGAGGGUACAAGACAAGGGAAGAGAAGAGAGAUGUAAUAGGUGAGGUCAGUGGAUUCGGGAAUUGGACCAGUUUGACUCACAAAAUUGGAAGAGAGAGAUGUUGUGUGGCUGAGAUGAGAACAAGUGUUUGGAUAAGAUAUUUGGAACAGAUGUUUAAGCAGCAAAACAAUUUUAUGUCCCUCCAGAAAUUUGAUCUUAGUUAUACCGAAGAUACUGGUGUGUUUUUAGUUAUACCGAAGAUAAUGAAUACCAGUUCCGACCAACAACCAUGAUCCAAAGUGAAAUUACUUUCGAUGUUGUGUGGUUAAAGAGGAGAGAGUGUGUGUGUUUUGGAGGAGAGAGAGAUUGAUAAGAAAAAGUGAAGGUACUUUCGAUGUUGUGUGGUUAGAGUGGAGAUAGAGACAUUCUUUUCCUUUUUUAUUGUUUAGGCGCCAAAACAAAUUUCAUUUACUUCCUAAUAUUUGUUCUUAGUUAUACAGAGGAUACUAGUGUUACGAAAUUUGGUCAUAGUUCUACUUUUGUUGGUUUCUAAUUUAAUUAGUGUUACUAAUUUUUUUAAUUUGUUUUUUUAGUUUUACUUUCGAUUUUAGUACUUCAAAAUGUAAGUUAUAUUGUUUUGUACAAUAAUAUAGGCGUAAUAGAUAUAACUCGAAAAAAUCCUUUGUAAGAAGUUCUUCAUUGAAAAGUGUGAUUCGAAUUACAAGGUUUCAUAAUGGAUAUAUCAUGAGUUUGAAGAAAAUUUCAAAAACGUGACGACCGAGUUUUGUUAUAAUUAUAAAUUAUAGUAGAGAAAACAAAUGUAAAACUAUCACAACCCGAGAUUUGAUAUAGAUAAUACUAAUGUCAUUAGAAAACAAAGUAGAUAACCAAGUUUUAUGCAGUUUUCCAAAUUAUGAUAACUGAGUUUUGAUAUAGAUAAUACUAAUGUCAUUAGAAAACAAAGUAGAUAACCAAGUUUUACGCAGUUUUCCGAAGCAUACAACACAAAAUAAACAUAUUACAGAGCUAAAUGCAUUACUCCUAAAUCCAAAUAACUAACUUCUAACUCUUUUCCUUCCCUUCCAUGCGAUGUGAUCCGGAGGCAUGAUCUUCACCUCCUUGAUGUAAUCCAGUACAUUCCAAGAAGACCUGUCGGGCACAACAUAAAGUGUCCUGGAAUAUGCCAUUGGCCACAGUUCCGACCAGUAGUAUUCUGAGCACAGCUCAUGGAUAUGAAGGUGCCUGCCAACGUUUGUAGUGAAAUAUAUGUAAGCAGCCAGUCCGUACAGACAAGAAAACUUUUCAUAAUCCCACACCUUGCAAGUACAACUAAGCUCGCCAAAAACAACUUUCCUUCAGUGUUGGUGAUCUCGUACUCAAACUCAUAACUAUCAAGCUCCCGCACAGGUAGCUUUUGUGCAACAGGCCAUAGCUCGUGCAAGUAGUUCUCAACCAGAGGCACCAGUUUGCUAUCAAUUGAUCCAGCAACAGCAUCCUUCCGAUGUUGAUUGAACCAAUCUGAGAUUUUCCCGAUGAUGCAAUCCAGCAUUGGUAUUAAGGCCCACCUCGUUGCCUCUUUAAACACGUUCUUCAUUGAUUCCACACCGUUGCUUGUAUCCAUGUUGUACCCGUCACGUGGAAAAAAAAAUCUUGCCCAUUUGUCCUUUUCAGUAUGUUCCUCAACAUACUUGUAGGCUGAAGGAUAGCUUAUCUUAAAUGAAUCAUAAGCAGAGUUGAAGUCAGCCUCCGUGUAAUAUCUGCCCAAUUCCAUGAAUCUAUGCCCGGCUAUAUUCUUAUUGACGCUACAAGCAUGCCCUUUCACAUUUUCCGUCAAAUGCCACAAACAAUGACCAUGGUGAGCCUGUGUAAACACAUUUGCUAUAGCGGAGAUGAGGAUUCUAUUUAUGUCACUCAUGAAAACCAGUUCAGAAGAGUCUGGUAUAACACUUUUAAGCAUCUCAAAAAACCAAGUCCAGCUAGCAUCAUUCUCACCAUCUACUACUGCAAAUGCAAGUGGAUAAUUGUGACCAUUAGGAUCUUGAGCUUUCGCGAAAACUAGAAGACCACCAUAUCUGUUCUUCAGCUAUGUCGCAUCCACAGCUAUCACUUUCCUCAUAACUGCAAACCCUUCAAUGCAAGCUCCCAAAGCUACGAAGACGUACUUGAAUUUAGAUCCCUCAUCCAAUUUCACACAUGUUUUUCUUCCCGGAUUCACUUGCUCUAACAUGUACAAAUAGCUAUACAUCAUCUUGUAGCUCUCUUCUGGACUAGCAGGUAUAUAACAAACUGCCUGAUUCUUUCUCACGUGAUUGCUCAUUGUACCCUGCCAUAAAAAGGAAUAAAUACAAGAAUCUACUACAGUUAUCCAAAGCUAUACCAGUUGUUCCUAGUUUUUUUCAGUUAUCUACAGUUCUACCAGUUGUUCCUAGUAUUCCAGUUAUCCACAGCUUUACUCGUUAUUCCGAGUUUUCCAGUUAUCCUACAAUUAUCAGAAAAUUUGAAUUAGGUUUCAAAUGAGUUGCCCCAGAUCGAUCUAGGUCCAAUUCUACUGCCUAUACACAGUUCCCCUAUACACUCUCAUUCCACCACCGAAAUGCAUUAGGAUCACCAAUUUCAAAAGAGACAAUGUCAUUUUGAUUCCUACUUCUAAUCAGAUCCCAAUUAAAAAUCCACUAAAACCUACUUGAGCCAGAGAGCAUAACUCACCUGCAACUCGACCAGCACCGACGAAGAUUGAGAACCUGUGAGUGGAGAAGGAGCUGAGGGUUCCGGAGCUGAGCUGUGGGAGAAGAGAAAGGGAGUUCCGCUGAGCUGAGGGUUUCGGGAGGAAUUCCGUUUCGGGAUUGAAUUGGGGAUUUCAAUUAAGAAUUUCCAUCUUAAUUAUUUAUUCAUAAUGAUCAACCCGAUUUGUUUCAACCAAAUCACCCAACCAAUCGUGGGAAAACCAAUAUACCAAACCACAUUUCAUUUUUUCAGAUUUAAUAAUCUGAGGGCACUUUCGUUAAUUCGCAUUUAGUUAAUGAGACAUGGGCAUAGGAAACUUCACAGACCCAUAGGAGAUUGUUCUAUGAGAUGGAGGGACAAUGCCUUCUCUUCUCCAUCCUCCAGGUACCAGGGACCCCCCCCCCCCUCCCUUUCUCAUGAAGAAUUCGCUUAUGCCCCUCUGAAGUCGCUUAUCCCCGUCUCCCAUUAAUAAAAUGGGAGAUGACAAAAAUGCCCUCAGAAUAUUAAAAAAAAAAAGAAAUCCGGGUGGAAUUGGGUUAAUUGGUAUUCAAACAGCGUUAUAGAUGAUUGCGGUUUGGAAUUGGGUUAAUCGGUUUGGUAUUGAAUAAAACAAUAAUUAAAAGUAGAGGAAAAUCAGAAAUCCUAUUUCCAAAAAGAAACCGCAGCUCCCCUCCCCUCUUCCAUCAAUCCCGAAGCUCAGCUCAGCUCUUAUCAUCCUCCUACACUGAUCUCUCCCGAAGCUUCUCGCCGGCGUAGAAUAAUCGUUUCCCGACGUCUAGCAUUCCGUCGGGGCCGGUGGAGUUUUUGGUAAGUUUUGCUCUCUGGUUCAAGAUUUCUUUAUGCGGUAGGUUGUAGUGGAUUAUAAACUGGAUUCAAUUUAGGAGUAAUGCACAACGUCAUUGAUUCAUUUUUGGGUCAAAUGGUAUAAAAUACAUGUCAAUGGUUGAAUGGGGGUGUAGAAUGGGACAUAUAUCAAUCCGCACCUAAAACCUAAUUCAAUUUGUUCUUGACAAUUGUAGUAAAACUGUAUAACUCGAAACAACUGGUAGAACUUUGGGUAACUGAGAAUACCCGGAACAACUGGUAGAACUUUGGAUAAAUAUAGCCAGUUUGUUGAGUUUGUUCCUUUUUUUUGGCAUGAUACAAUGAGCAAUCACGUCAGCAUUCAUUUUCAAUUCAAAGACCGCAUGUUUAGUAUAACUGUGAAGACAUUCGUGGAGGAUAUGACUUUGUCAAUGAUAGAAGAGAGGAUGUAUAAGAAGCUUGGGUUGGAUGAACGUACGAAAAAAACUGACAAUGAGCUACAUGCCGAUGGUGGUAGGAUGUGAGCGACCUUUAAAUAUUGUUGAUGAUGAGGAUCUUUUUGUUUACUUAAGAUCAGAAUUGGUAGAUAAACUCUCGAUAGUUUGUAAAACUUAUGUUGGUAUGAACUACAAACAGUUGGAGCCAUUGGAGGAUUAAAUUGGACCCAUAACUUUGUACGUAUAAGAAAAGUAGUGAGAUAACGAGGUGAUAGAGGGUAAGAAUGAUGAUGAUACAACACGAGAUGAUUGUAUGGAGACGGAUACCGGUAUGGAGACUGAUACUGGUAUGGAGACGGCUGUUGAGAUCGAUACGGCUGUUGAGACUGAUACGGCUACAGAGACCGAUACGGCUGCGGAGACCGAUACAGCUACGGAGACCUAUACUGCUGCAGAGACUGAUACCGCUGCAGAGACCAAUACCGCUGUUUCAACCACUGAUAAGUAUGUUGAACAGCCACCUGUCAUAGAAUUGACUAAGUAUAUAGAGGAAUGGGGUGAUGGUCUGAGUUUGAGUAAGCAUGACAGAAUUUCCAAGUAAAAAGGCAAUUCAGGAGAUGGUCGAUAGGGCUUCAUUUAGUGAAUACUAUCAUUGUCUCACAAAAAAGUCUGAUCGUAGACGAUUGGUGAUAGGAUGUUCGCAACCUAACUGUAAAUGGGGAUUACGAGCUGCAAGGAUUUCUGAGACCAAAAUUUUUUCAAUUAGAAUGUAACGUCCCGACCGCCCACAGCUAAUGGGCCACCCACACCCGCUCUCUCGGCCCGUGGGCCCCAUCCCGUUCCAGCGAUCGGUCCGUUAAUUUUCCAAGGCUUGAAAUCGUUGUUUACUGACCCUGCAAUCACCACAUGACCUUUCCCCGUGCUUUGGCCUCACUCGCACGUUAUCGCAAAUCACUUCCCGGUAGGUCACUCAUCCUUCCACUACUCCAGCUCAAACACGCUUAACUCUGGAGUUCUUUCAGGAUGUGCUCCAGAAAAGGUCUCAAGACACCUCUCGGGUCAGAACGGAGAUGGCUAACCAGCUCUGAUACCACUUGUAACAUCCCGACCGCCCACAGCUAUUGGUACACCCACACCUAAAGGGCCACCCACACCCGCUCUCUCGGCCCGUGGGCCCCAUCCCGUUCCAGCGAUCGAUCCGUUAAUUUUCCAAGGCUCAAAAUCAUUGUUUACUGACCCUGCAAUCACCACAUGACCUUUCCCCGUGCUUUGGCCUCACUCGCACGCUACCGCAAAUCACUUCCCGGUAGGUCACCCAUCCUUCCACUACUCCAGCUCAAGCACGCUUAACUCUGGAGUUCUUUCAGGAUAUGCUCCGGAAAAUGUAAGUCAACUUUGGUGACAUAGGUAGCCAAAUCAAUUCUCUUAAAUCUUUUUCACAUAUCACAACUCGGGAUGUUACAUAGAAGCUACACGAAGAUGCAUACGUGCUCUAGGGCUAGUCAAAGUACCAACAACGACAAAGAGGGUCAGCCGAACUAAUGUCGGCGUUUUUGAAUGAGAAAUACCUCGGAUAGUUGAAAACUCCAGUUCCAAAAGUUAUUAAGGGUCUCGUUAAGUUCAAACUUAGGGUCAUUAUAUCAUACCCCACAGUGUUGUGUGGAAAGAAUCUUACGGUUUGUGAUACACGUGGUAGUCCGGAAGAGAGCUACAUGUUGAUGUAUAGCUUUUUGUACAUGUUAGAGAAAAUGAAUCAAUGAACAAAAACCCGUGUGAAAUUGGAUGAGGAACGUAAAUUCAAAUACCUCUUCUUAGCCUUGGGAGCUUGCAUUGAAGGGUUUGCAGUCAUGAGGAAAGUGAUAGUUGUGGAUGCAACAUGGCUAAAGAACGGAUAUGGUGGUGUUCUUGUUUUUGCCAAAGCUCAAGAUCCUAACCGUCACUAUUAUCCACUUAUGUUUGCAGUACUAGAUGGAGAGAAUCAUGCUAGCUGGACUUGGUUUUCAUGAGUGACAGAAAUCAAAGCCUAAUCUUUGCUAUAACAAACGUGUUUCCACAGGCUCACCAUGGGCAUUGUUUAUGGCAUUUAAAGGAAAAUGUGAAAGGGCAUGCUUCUAACGUCAACAAAGAGAUAGUCGGGCAUAGAUUCAUGGAGUUGGGCAGAUAUUACACGCUAGCUGACUUAAACUCCGGUUACGAUAUAUUUAAGAUAAGAUAUCAUUCAGCGUACAAUCAUGUGGAGGAGCAUACAGAAAAAGACAAAUGGGCAAGGGUUUUUUUCUCACGUGACAGAUACAACUUGGACACAAGCAACAGUUUGGAAUCAAUGAACAACGUGUUUAAAGAAGCAAGGAGGUGGGCCUUAAUACGAAUGUUGGAUUUUAUCAUCAGGACAUUCUCUGAUUGGUUUAAUCAACAUUGUAUGAUGUUUCUGGAUCAAGCGAUAUCAAAUUGGUGCCUCUGGUUGAGAACUACUUGCACGAUAUAUGGCCUGUUGCACGAAUGUUUCCUGUGCGGGAGCUUAAUAUUUAUGACCUUGAAUACGAGAACACCACACUGAUGGAAAGAUUUUUUUGGAGAACUUGGUUGCGAAAACUUGUACUUGCAAGGUAUGGGAUUAUGAGAAAUUUCCUUGUCUGCACGGACUGGCUUCUUACAUAUUUUUCACUAAGAACGUUGUUGGCGACGUUGGGAGGCGCUGUGAUAUACAUAUAGUACAUCAUGAGUUGUGCUCAAAAUACUACUGGACGGAACUGUGGGCAUUGGCAUAUUCCCGGACACUUUAUGUUGUGCCCGACAGGUUCUCUUGGAAUGUACCGGAUGACAUCAAGGAGCUGAAGAUCGUACAUCACGCGGAAGGAUAGGAAAAGAGUUAAAAGGCAUCCUUCUUGUGGAGAACGGUGUAAAAGGAAACAAAACAAAAGGCGGCCAAGGCAAAACUUUGGUUUCAAUUGGUUGUUAUUUGGAAAUAGUGCCCCCCCCCCCCCCCCUGUGCAUGAAUUUAGCUCUAUCCUAUGUUUGUUUUGUGCAGUGUGAUUUGGAAAACUGCGUAAAACUUGGUUAUCAUAGUUUUUCUACUUUGUUUUGUAAUGACAUUAGUAUUAUCUAUAUCAAAACUCGGCUAUCAUUGUUUUACAUUUCAGUUCUCAACUAUAACUUAUAGUUCUAAUAAACGUAAUAAAUGUAUGUGAGUAAAAUUUUAAAGAACAAUAUAACUUGGUUAUCAUAUUUUGUCUACCUUAUCAUUCUAAUCACACUUUCUUAAUGAAUAACUAUUACCGAGUUAUUAUUGUACAUAACAAUAUAACUAACAUUUUAAAGAACUAAAAUCGAGAGUAAAACUAAAAGAUGAAAUUAAACGGAUUAGUAACACUAAAUAAAUUAGAAACCAUCAAAAAUAAAACUAUGACCAAAUUUCGUAACAUUAGUAUCUUUUGUCUAACUAAAAACAAAUCAAAUGGAGGGAAAUGAAAUUUGUUUUUUCGCCUACACAAUUUUAAACAUUUGGAAAUAAUAUUUCUUUUUCGUAUUUCUAAAUCGAAAUCCCUCUCUUCCCAUCCCAACCACACAAACACAACCUCAUCUCACUUUUUCUUAUCCAUCUCUCUCUCCUUCAAAAAUUCACUCUCUCUAACAACCAAGAAUCGGGAAUUCAACUUUCUCGUUGAACCAUGAUGCAUCCAGAAGAGGAGUACCAGAAAAUGAAGGCAGCAAGGAGAGAAAACGACAUGUGUGGGUACAUCAACAUGCCCAUCACGGGAUUCCGACCCGCUGUUUCUGUGGAGACAAAAUUGCCGAUGAGUUUUCUCUGGGUUUGAAGUUUUCCGGCGAGUUUGAUACUCUACCUAGAAGGAAGUACUUCACUUGCGCCAAGUUUGAGGUACUUUUUGAUAGGCCACGGAUUUUUACCCACUUUUAACCAUGGUUUAUAUAGGUUUUUAGUCUUUUAUAUGUAUUCGAACCCUUUUUAGGGUAACUACAGGUUCAUGUAGUAAAAUGAUGAAUUUGGGGUAAUUUGGAGACUUUUUGAGCUUUGCUGGAAACAGAGAAAGACUUGAUUAUUAAGCCAGAAUGUCGACCGACGAUCACCAAGAAUAAUCAAUCGACGGUGAGUUGUUACCAUCGAUCGACAGCGGAGCCACCCGAGUUAAUGACAAAUAAGAAGAUUGCAAGUUUCACAAAAGUCCCAAUAUUUACAUUUAAGUCCAUGGCCGCCUGUUAGGCUAUAUUAUUACAGUUUUGUAUCAUUUUAGAGGCAAACUUGCCUAGAGACCUUUUAAACCUAGUUUGUAAACGAGAAACCCAUUCCACCAUUUAAGAGAGAGCUUAAGAUUAGAGAGAGAGAUCUGAACUGCAUAACAGAGAAGACCUUUCUCUUACUAUUGAUAUAUUUAAGUAUUAUUCAGACCAUCAUAACCAUGUUUCUUAUGAAUAUGUCUGAGUAGUCUUACUGUUAGAUUUAGGUUUCUCAUAAGGUUGAUAUAUGUAUUGCUAACUAAACUGUUGCUAGGGUGUUUAAAAUAUAAUUCUUCAUCUAGUUGUUCUUAAUGCUUAGUUUAGGAUUGAUCACCCUUUAACUUAGAUCCUAGGAUUAAUUGAGACAAGCCAUAGCUUGACUCAAUACCUGAAACUAAACUAGUAUGAUAUAACUGACUAGAUACACACGAAAGUUGGUCUACUAAAUUAGAGAACACUAAUCAAACCCGCUCGAAAUGCUUUCUGGAAGAAGUAUCGAUCGACGCGGCAAUCUUUGUGUCGAUCGAUAUUUUGAAAGGUGUAUCUAUCGAUAUUCUUUAAGAAUCAUCGAUCGACACUUUCUCGUGAUUAAUAAACGAAGGUUGAAAUUCGAGAUGUAGAUAUAGAAAAUCUAUUUGAUUUUACCUAAGUUUGAGUUCGAGAACAAUUAAUAUCCAUAAACCCCUAAAACCCCAAAUUAAGUUGCUUACUCAUCAUACCUGAGAAUAUACAUGAAUCUCGCUAUUUCCCUAACUGUUAACAACCUCAAAUCAAACCAAUCGAGCAAUUGUCUUGCUCAACCCUUCAUUUACUGCUUAAAACCUAUUAAUCUAGCUUUAUUUCGAAGACUAUAAAUCUACUGUGUAAUCCUAGAGUCUUUGUGGAUUCAAUCCCUAUGUACUAUAUUUGAACCUCUUAUUUGGGAGAAUAAUUCACUCCUUAAGGUAAUUUGAAUGAUAUCAAUUUUCAAUCCUUUACUGACCAUUCAUAUAAUUAGGGUUCAAUUUGAUUUGUAUGAAUAUGAGUGAUGAUUGAUUGGGUUAUUAUCGGUUUCUAUAUGUCAGUGCCAUAUGAAAGACAUGGUUUGCACAUGUAGAACUCUCGAGGGAAAUCAACCUGGAUUGUAGAAACAAAUGACAGAGUAUUGGGACAAUGCUGAAUCCCAUGAUAAGAUUGUGAAAACAUCAGCAGCUCAAAUGCCAGACCAUAAAGAACUUGGUCCUCACAAGCAAAACUCCGGCAGAAGUACCUACAAAUCGAACAAGAAAUGGUAACUUGCUUUCUAUCUCCAUUCAUACAAGUUAAGCUUUAUUAUGUGACAUUAACCUUUAAUUUGUUUACCAUUUCAGGUUGAGGAAUUUCGGCAGACCGGUUAAUCUUGAAUAAGCUUUCAUCACGACGCAUACAAAAAAGGAUGGGACCUUUGUCAAAAAAAAGCGCAGCAGAUUGCAGAGGCGUACCAAAAGAAUAAGCAACCAAGUUGACUUCCCUUGAGACUGAAAACUCAAAGACUUCAGUACUUCACACGAUCCACAGCUCUCCCUUGAAGAGUAUAACAAUAUAUUCCUUAUGGUAAACUGCUUCUUUUAUAUUUGGUUUUUAUUUUGAUACAUGAUAUCUCUUCUAGUUUGAUAGUCUGACAAUUUGAUUUGUUUUUGUAGUCUACUUUCACAAACAAAAGAGGGCGACACUACGGAAUUGGAAGCCUCAAGAGAGUACUCUUGUCAAUGGAAAGCGAACGUUCAGUGCAUGCUCUUCUUCAUUCAUGAACCUGCAAAAACAGCUAGGCGACGCUCACCACAAAAUUGAGAAGCAGGCUCCUUAUAACGCAAAGCAAGAAAAGAAGAUCAACGACCUCUCUUUGGUGGAGAAGUUUUUGACUGUAACUGAUCCAAGAUUUCUUGAGUACAUCGCCAUUAAUUCCACCUGAUGCUUAGUUUCCCUUCUUGGUCCCCUUCUCUUGUACAAACUUAUGUCUUUUGGUUGAAAACUAGUUUAACUCCAUAAGAAUAGGAGCUUCUUUUGUAACUUGUAUCAAAUGCUUGUUAAUAUUUUUAGUUUUCAAAUUAAGUUCAAAUG
Molecule: long non-coding RNA, 14166 nt
Organism: Brassica rapa (field mustard)
Lineage: Eukaryota; Viridiplantae; Streptophyta; Magnoliopsida; Brassicales; Brassicaceae
Source: RefSeq, a predicted model, not a curated record